UACGUAGGGUGCGAGCGUUGUCCGGAAUUAUUGGGCGUAAAGGCUCGUAGGCGGUUUGUCGCGUCGGGAGUGAAAUCCACUGGCUUAACUGGUGGGCUUGCUUUCGAUACGGGCAGACUGGAGGUAUGCAGGGGAGAACGGAAUUCCUGGUGUAGCGGUGAAAUGCGCAGAUAUCAGGAGGAACACCGGUGGCGAAGGCGGUUCUCUGGGCAUGUCCUGACGCUGAGGAGCGAAAGUGUGGGGAGCGAACAGG
This 253-nucleotide ribosomal RNA is filed under the name uncultured bacterium. Its description in RNAcentral is "partial 16S ribosomal RNA". It matches the Rfam family "Bacterial small subunit ribosomal RNA", at positions 524 to 776 of the family's 1533-position model. The record is from RNAcentral.